This 497-nucleotide ribosomal RNA is filed under the name uncultured bacterium. RNAcentral describes it as "partial 16S ribosomal RNA". It matches the Rfam family "Bacterial small subunit ribosomal RNA", at positions 28 to 507 of the family's 1533-position model. The record is from RNAcentral.
GAUGAACGCUGGCGGCGUGCCUAAUACAUGCAAGUCGAGCGAACAGAUGAGGAGCUUGCUCCUCUGACGUUAGCGGCGGACGGGUGAGUAACACGUGGAUAACCUACCUAUAAGACUGGGAUAACUUCGGGAAACCGGAGCUAAUACCGGAUAAUAUAUUGAACCGCAUGGUUCAAUAGUGAAAGACGGUUUUGCUGUCACUUAUAGAUGGAUCCGCGCCGCAUUAGCUAGUUGGUAAGGUAACGGCUUACCAAGGCAACGAUGCGUAGCCGACCUGAGAGGGUGAUCGGCCACACUGGAACUGAGACACGGUCCAGACUCCUACGGGAGGCAGCAGUAGGGAAUCUUCCGCAAUGGGCGAAAGCCUGACGGAGCAACGCCGCGUGAGUGAUGAAGGUCUUCGGAUCGUAAAACUCUGUUAUUAGGGAAGAACAAAUGUGUAAGUAUCUAUGCACGUCUUGACGGUACCUAAUCAGAAAGCCACGGCUAACUACGUG